GAUGAACGCUGGCGGCGUGCCUAAUACAUGCAAGUCGAGCGAACAGACGAGGAGCUUGCUCCUUUGACGUUAGCGGCGGACGGGUGAGUAACACGUAGGUAACCUACCUAUAAGACUGGGAUAACUUCGGGAAACCGGAGCUAAUACCGGAUAAUAUUUCGAACCGCAUGGUUCCAUAGUGAAAGACGGUUUUGCUGUCACUUAUAGAUGGAUCCGCGCCGCAUUAGCUAGUUGGUAAGGUAACGGCUUACCAAGGCAACGAUGCGUAGCCGACCUGAGAGGGUGAUCGGCCACACUGGAACUGAGACACGGUCCAGACUCCUACGGGAGGCAGCAGUAGGGAAUCUUCCGCAAUGGGCGAAAGCCUGACGGAGCAACGCCGCGUGAGUGAUGAAGGUCUUCGGAUCGUAAAACUCUGUUAUUAGGGAAGAACAAAUGUGUAAGUAACUAUGCACGUCUUGACGGUACCUAAUCAGAAAGCCACGGCUAACUACGUG
This 497-nucleotide ribosomal RNA is filed under the name uncultured bacterium. Its description in RNAcentral is "partial 16S ribosomal RNA". It matches the Rfam family "Bacterial small subunit ribosomal RNA", at positions 28 to 507 of the family's 1533-position model. The record is from RNAcentral.